GCACAAGCGGUGGAGCAUGUGGAUUAAUUCGAUGCAACGCGAAGAACCUUACCUGGGUUUGACAUCGCCGGAAAACUCGCAGAGAUGUGGGGUCCUUCGGGGCCGGUGACAGGUGGUGCAUGGCUGUCGUCAGCUCGUGUCGUGAGAUGUUGGGUUAAGUCCCGCAACGAGCGCAACCCUCGUUCGAUGUUGCCAGCGGGUUAUGCCGGGGACUCAUCGAAGACUGCCGGGGUCAACUCGGAGGAAGGUGGGGAUGACGUCAAGUCAUCAUGCCCCUUAUGUCCAGGGCUUCACGCAUGCUACAAUGGCCGGUACAAACCGUUGCGAGCCCGUGAGGGGGAGCGAAUCGGAAAAAGCCGGUCUCAGUUCGGAUCGGGGUCUGCAACUCGACCCCGUGAAGUCGGAGUCGCUAGUAAUCGCAGAUCAGCAACGCUGCGGUGAAUACGUUCCCGGGC
RNAcentral lists this ribosomal RNA (455 nucleotides) under uncultured bacterium. Its description in RNAcentral is "bacterial SSU rRNA". It matches the Rfam family "Bacterial small subunit ribosomal RNA", at positions 923 to 1379 of the family's 1533-position model. The record is from RNAcentral.